This is a long non-coding RNA of Myzus persicae (green peach aphid), 2213 nucleotides long. RefSeq lists it as uncharacterized. NCBI's taxonomy places the organism in Eukaryota, Metazoa, Arthropoda, Insecta, Hemiptera, Aphididae. The transcript has 7 exons. The record is from RefSeq and is a predicted model, not a curated record.
AUUGCAUAUAUAGCCCCCCCACGCUGUUUUACACUAUUGUAAUAUUUAUUACUCGGGUUCGUAUCAUUCGUAUCGUGUUCGCUGUUGUCUGCUUGACGUCCCUACUUCCUACAGAUUGUUAAUAAUUGUAUUGCAUCAACCGUAUACUCUUGUUUUCAUUGUUUAAAUUGUAAUACAAUGAGUGAUUGUGAUUUUUCAACCGAAGUCGAUCACGUUGCAGAUUUAGAAGAACCAAUUUUACCCAGGCCAAAUUAUCAAAAAUAUUUUUAAGUAUUAAGAGUCAUUGAGGAUAAUUUUUUUUUACAAGAAGCUGAAAGUGAAGUGCUUAAGUCGUGUCGAUACAAGGUGGAUUCACGUUCAAACUCUAAUAUAAGAAAACAUUUAAGCGUAGAUAAGUACAAUGUUAAUUUCAUACCUGCCUAUAGCCUAUGACAGUUGACCCAUCUAAUAUCUUGUGUGUUGAAUUAAUUUUAAAUAUUACAAAAAUACAUCAAAAACAGUGGCGCACAGUUUUUUAAAAGUCAAAUUUCAAGUGCUUAAGAUGUAUAAUAGAUCUCAUUAUUCUAUAUUAUAAAUUUUCCUGGGCCCCACACGAGUCAUCUCAGAGGGGCCCAGUAUUCUUGUGUAUAUGAAAUAAAAUAAAAUAAAUAACCCCUUCCCCCCUCAAAAGUAAAUCCCAGUUGCGCCACUUAUCAAAAAAUGUAAAUUAUUUAUCAAAACUUAUAAUGUUAAGUAAAAGGUUAUAUUAUUUCAUUUUAUUCAGACACAACAUUCAACUAUAUUAAAGAAAAUUGAUUACGUUGAUAAUGCAGCGAACAAAAACACUUUAAAGAGAUGCAAUGAUGGAUCAUUGAAGCAUAAUGCUGGUAGUUCUUUAAAACAAUCACAUAAAAACAACCAGUUUUAUAAGAUUUUUUGAACAGCAAAAGAUUAACUAGUCAAAUUUUUAGUUGCAGCAUUAACAAAAGUAGUUGAUAUUUACAUGACUACAUGACUAUAUACUGAUACAUCGCUAGUGAAUAACACGGUUGUUGAUGAUUUAGAAUGAAUCGACGCAAUCAACUUGUACAUUCUUAAUGAUGAAGAUCAUGAUUUGCAAUAUGCACUACCAAAACACCACCGAUGUUGUGCACACACAAUAAAUUUAAUAGCAACAAUGGUUACAGCCAGAAGACAUGAAGGAGAAGCCGCCCACUGGCAACACUUCAGGAAUCUAAAAAAGCUUUGUCUAAUCUUGCAUACAAAAAACAGUCGAGAAGAACUUUUGCCAAGUCUACCGCUUUGUGAAUCAAACAAGGUCGCUCAACUAAGUCAUCUGAUUUAUUUAAACAAAAUCUUGGAGUUUAUUUAAUUACACCCAACGAGACACAUUGUAAUUCACUGUAUGAUGCAGUGGUGCUGCUUAUUAAAUUAAUUAAAAAUAAUGAACUUAUGUUUAGAAUAAUAAUAGACUAAUUGGCUAUUGGCAGGUUUAAUAGAAGUGAUAUUGAUUUCAUGUGUCAAUAUCAAACAAUUAUGGGGCCAAUUUCAAUAAGCUUAGAUUUACUCCAGGGUGAUACUAACAUGUACUUUGGUCAUCUCCUAUCUACAAUUGAAGUAUUAAUUUAUAAAUAUGAAUUUAUGACAAGUGAUCAAACAGUUUCUAAUUACCAAUAUGAAACUUCUGGUGACUGCCAUACUUAAUGGUAUAAAAACUAGGUGUGCUGAUUAUUUGAUUGACAAAUCUUUAACUACUGCUGCAGUCUACCACCCACUAUUUAAAAAAGCAUGGAUUGCAAAUGAUAUAAAAAAGCAAUUGGUCUCUGAAUAUUUAAAAAGUCCUUUUAUGACUUACAUACCAGUGAUGAUGACAAUAAUGAUGUAGAAGAUAAUCAAAUGAAAGAUAAUUUAUUUACCUUUUUUACAGGGUCACAAAAUUCCCGAGAGGAAAAAUCAACAAUUAGUGAUGAAAUAGAUAUAUUUAGAUUUCCAACAGAGACUUAAGAAUUUUUGUAUAAUUCACCCACUAUCAAAAAAUUUUCAGGUAUUUGUGAAGUACAACACUCCACUACCUAGCAGUGCAUCAGUAAAGAGAGUGUUUAGUGUUGGUGGUGCAACAAUUACAAAAAAAAGAACAAAUAUGACGGAUCAGGAAUUUGAACAAAUAAUGUUCUCAAAAUGCAACACUCAAAUGUUUGAUUAAUAUAAUAUAUUAUGAAUGAUUCAGAAUUAAA